UAAUCUGCUGUAGCGUCUCAUGGUUGGUCAUUCCUGAUAAGGGGCCAGCAAGAGGACCAGUCAGCGGCUGCCUUGAUCCUGCCUAGGUGCCACCAAAGAGACUACCCCACCCCCAGCCUCUACAUGGCCAGUCUGUGCUGGUACUCCAGCCCCUAUGCUGGUACCUUUGGGGGUCAGUGACUCCCAGGGUACAUCUCCUCCCUCAGACUGGAUUCCAGGCUACCUCCCUCAGACUAAACUUUCCCUGAUGAGUCAUGAUCUUGUUUAUCUCUUCUCAGAUGGCUUACCUUCAUAGGGACACUGGCCAUAAGUGAAGACCUCAUACAGCAGGAUGCCAAAGGACCAGACAUCUGACUUUUGGGAAAAGACACGGAAGGAAAUGUGCCCAGUGCCUGAAGCUGAGGUCCCAGGCCGCCACUAUCAGGUGACUGGAAGCUCCUUCAUACAGAUAGGAUCUCAGUAUGUAGUCUUGGAUGGCCACUACAUAGACAAGGCUAGCCUCAAACUCAGAGAUCCACCUGCUUCAGCCUCCA
This is a long non-coding RNA of Mus musculus (house mouse), 533 nucleotides long. RefSeq annotates it as predicted gene, 40033. The record is from RefSeq and is a predicted model, not a curated record. Lineage: Eukaryota; Metazoa; Chordata; Mammalia; Rodentia; Muridae. The transcript is spliced from 3 exons.